AUUGAACGCUGGCGGCAUGCCUUACACAUGCCAGUCGAACGGUAACGGGCCUUCGGGUGCCGACGAGUGGCGCACGGGUGAGUAAUACAUCGGAACGUGCCCGAUCGUGGGGGAUAACGAGGCGAAAGCUUUGCUAAUACCGCAUACGAUCUACGGAUGAAAGCAGGGGACCGCAAGGCCUUGCGCGGACGGAGCGGCCGAUGGCAGAUUAGGUAGUUGGUGGGAUAAAAGCUUACCAAGCCGACGAUCUGUAGCUGGUCUGAGAGGAUGAUCAGCCACACUGGGACUGAGACACGGCCCAGACUCCUACGGGAGGCAGCAGUGGGGAAUUUUGGACAAUGGGCGCAAGCCUGAUCCAGCCAUGCCGCGUGCAGGAUGAAGGCCUUCGGGUUGUAAACUGCUUUUGUACGGAACGAAAAGCAUUCUUUUAAUACAGGAGGGUCAUGACGGUACCGUAAGAAUAAGCACCGGCUAACUACGUG
This 482-nucleotide ribosomal RNA is filed under the name uncultured bacterium. Its description in RNAcentral is "partial 16S ribosomal RNA". It matches the Rfam family "Bacterial small subunit ribosomal RNA", at positions 30 to 507 of the family's 1533-position model. The record is from RNAcentral.